CUACGGGGCGCACCAGUGGGGAAUAUUGCACAAUGGGCGCAAGCCUGAUGCAGCCAUGCCGCGUGUAUGAAGAAGGCCUUCGGGUUGUAAAGUACUUUCAGCGGGGAGGAAGGGAGUAAAGUUAAUACCUUUGCUCAUUGACGUUACCCGCAGAAGAAGCACCGGCGAACUCCGUGCCAGCAGCCGCGGUAAUACGGAGGGUGUAAGCGUUAAUCGGAAUUACUGGGCGUAAAGCGCACGCAGGCGGUUUGUUAAGUCAGAUGUGAAAUCCCCGGGCUCAACCUGGGAACUGCAUCUGAUACUGGCAAGCUUGAGUCUCGUAGAGGGGGGUAGAAUUCCAGGUGUAGCGGUGAAAUGCGUAGAGAUCUGGAGGAAUACCGGUGGCGAAGGCGGCCCCCUGGACGAAGACUGACGCUCAGGUGCGAAAGCGUGGGGAGCAAACAGGAUUAGAUACCCGUGUAGUC
Molecule: ribosomal RNA, 464 nt
Filed under: uncultured bacterium
Lineage: Bacteria
Description: partial 16S ribosomal RNA
Rfam family: Bacterial small subunit ribosomal RNA
Source: RNAcentral